ACAUUCAGUGCUGGUUGCUAUACAGAGCGAGAGUUAUUACCCUAUUGAAAAUAAAGUUUUCUAAAGUAUUUUUAAUAAAAAUAAUCAUUUUGAGCAGCUGUGUAUUCGACGUAUUCGAAUCUCUAUGCUAGUGCAGUUUCUUUUAAAGCUUUGCUUUUAAUCAAUUUUUUUUAGCUGCUCUGUAUUCAACAAAGGAUCGCUAAGCAAGCAAAGUUCAUAAUGCCCGUUCUUGUGAGGAAUAUCAACAAAGCACCCGCCUGGGAAUUGUAUCUGCGCCUUAUGCGCACCAUUGAUAAGCUUAUUGCUGCUUUUUACAGAGCGCAAUGCUCAAUGGACAAGCAAUCCAACGCUGUGGAGCUUACUAAAGCGUUAAUCAAGAUGGCCCAAUUGAUCGAGGUGCAGACUGCAUUGCUUAGACAUGUUGUGAUACUAUUCAAAUCUAGCUCAGUUGGAUUGAACUAAAGCAAAUUAUUUUUAUUAGUUGGCAACUCAUUGUCAACUCAAUUCGAAUUUAUGUUUGCCUAUGGACAACUUUAAAAAGUUGCAGCUAAAUAUUAUUGAAUAUAAAGAUUGAAUUAAA
Drosophila busckii is the source of this 580-nucleotide RNA transcript. RefSeq lists it as uncharacterized. The record is from RefSeq and is a predicted model, not a curated record. The transcript has 2 exons. NCBI's taxonomy places the organism in Eukaryota, Metazoa, Arthropoda, Insecta, Diptera, Drosophilidae.